AGAGUUUGAUCAUGGCUCAGAACGAACGCUGGCGGCAUGCCUAACACAUGCAAGUCGAACGAGACCUUCGGGUCUAGUGGCGCACGGGUGCGUAACGCGUGGGAAUCUGCCCUUGGGUUCGGAAUAACAGUUAGAAAUGACUGCUAAUACCGGAUAAUGUCUUCGGACCAAAGAUUUAUCGCCCAGGGAUGAGCCCGCGUAGGAUUAGCUAGUUGGUGAGGUAAAGGCUCACCAAGGCGACGAUCCUUAGCUGGUCUGAGAGGAUGAUCAGCCACACUGGGACUGAGACACGGCCCAGACUCCUACGGGAGGCAGCAGUGGGAAUAUUGGACAAUGGGCGAAAGCCUGAUCCAGCAAUGCCGCGUGAGUGAUGAAGGCCUUAGGGUUGUAAAGCUCUUUACCCGGGAUGAUAAUGACAGUACCGGGAGAAUAAGCCCCGGCUAACUCCGUG
This 451-nucleotide ribosomal RNA is filed under the name uncultured bacterium. RNAcentral describes it as "bacterial SSU rRNA". It matches the Rfam family "Bacterial small subunit ribosomal RNA", at positions 8 to 507 of the family's 1533-position model. The record is from RNAcentral.